AUCCAGCUGACAAGUCCCAUAUAGGAUGAAACGUGCGUCCUGUAU
RNAcentral lists this non-coding RNA (45 nucleotides) under Schistosoma margrebowiei. The record is from RNAcentral. Lineage: Eukaryota; Metazoa; Platyhelminthes; Trematoda; Strigeidida; Schistosomatidae.